Molecule: ribosomal RNA, 373 nt
Filed under: uncultured organism
Description: partial 16S ribosomal RNA
Rfam family: Bacterial small subunit ribosomal RNA
Source: RNAcentral
GGGGGGGGUGCAAGCGUUAUUCGGAAUCACUGGGCGUAAAGAGCGCGUAGGCGGUCUCUUAAGUCAGAUGUGAAAGCCCGGGGCUUAACCCCGGAAGUGCAUUUGAAACGGAGGGACUUGAGUAUGGGAGAGGGAAGUGGAAUUCCUGGUGUAGCGGUGAAAUGCGUAGAUAUCAGGAGGAACACCGGUGGCGAUGGCGACUUCCUGGACCAAUACUGACGCUGAGGCGCGAAGGCGUGGGGAGCAAACAGGAUUAGAUACCCUGGUAGUCCACGCAGUAAACGUUGAACACUAGGUGUAGCGGGUAUUGACCCCUGUUGUGCCGCAGCUAACGCAUUAAGUGUUCCGCCUGGGAAGUACGGCCGCAAGGCUA